Molecule: long non-coding RNA, 254 nt
Filed under: Mytilus galloprovincialis (Mediterranean mussel)
Lineage: Eukaryota; Metazoa; Mollusca; Bivalvia; Mytilida; Mytilidae
Source: RNAcentral
CCAGUAGCGAUGAGUCGAUCUCGAACAGUUCUUGUUAAAAGCUUCCUGGAUGGCCACCACUCUCUUUUUAGGAUUGUCUUGUAUGCAAUGGGUUUCCUUCUGACCAACCUUCAUUAUGCUUGAUUUUCCCUAGCAAAUGGUAUAGGGGGUCUUCAUUAUCUCGGAAGGUCUUUAACAGCGUUUAUUGCCUGAUUUUUAUUCUCAAAACGACUUAUAGUGGAAUGGUGAUGACCAACAAUACGUUCAGUUGUUAC